GGCCCCGGAGAAAAAUGAUAUGAAUGUACAGUCGGGCGGCGGCCACGUGAGGGCGGCAGCCAAUAGCGGCGCCUCCUGCCAGCGUGGCCCGGUCCCUUCCUGUUUGAUGGAUCGCCCUGGCGGUGGCAUUUAAAUUCCGAGCGCUGCUCCGUCAAGGUGACGCGCAGCCACCACCUCCCUCACUCCCCCCUCCUCCUCUUCCUCCUCCUCCUCGCCCAUCCUCAGUCAAUGCCUUGGGCUGCUUGGAGAGCCAGCCCAGGCACCCUGCCUGAGAGACCAUCCUCGCCCGCCCGCCGCGGGAGGGACAGAGCGGGGAGAGCCCGGCCAAGCAGGUGUCUUUUCUUGGGAUCUUUGGACUUGCUGGGAAAGGCAUCCAAGGAAAGAAAAGCUUUGCUGGCAUUCAAGGAAUGGUUCCCCCGCAGCAGGAACAACUAAACGCUUUCAGUAACAGGAAAAAAAAAUGUCCCUCUUUCCACUUGGACUUUGGUAUAUUCUCCAGUUAGACAAACUGUACCCAAAAAUCCUAAUUAUAUAUGCACACACCCUAUGGAAACGUCUGAACGUGCCCCCACCUUCUUGAAUCUAAUGUAUUAUAUGCAUUAAUGGGGAAAAUAUUUUUAUGUAUGGUUCAGAGGUAUUUUAAUUCCCCCCUACUAUUUUUUUCCUUUGGAAACUUUGGAAAUAAAUUAUUUUAAAGAUGUCGUCCCUCCAAUAAAUAUUCCUAACGAAAAAGGCA
Long non-coding RNA from Anolis sagrei ordinatus, 736 nucleotides. RefSeq lists it as uncharacterized. The record is from RefSeq and is a predicted model, not a curated record. Lineage: Eukaryota; Metazoa; Chordata; Lepidosauria; Squamata; Anolidae.